This 437-nucleotide long non-coding RNA is filed under the name Brassica rapa (field mustard). RNAcentral describes it as "long non-coding RNA (BRAP_LNC000517)". Lineage: Eukaryota; Viridiplantae; Streptophyta; Magnoliopsida; Brassicales; Brassicaceae. The record is from RNAcentral.
UUUAUAAUUUUUUUGGUACUAUUUUUUAUGUUUACCAUCGCUAAAGACACUUUUUUUAUAAUCUUGGUUUGAUCCCAAAGGCUUUCUAGGCUCAAGAACUAGUCACCAAGAGAUCCAUAGACAUCUGGGUUUUCUUGCCACUUAAGGCGUCUAUGGGUGGCCAAAAAGAAUCGAACCCAUGGCGGAAUCUUCAGCUAAAACUCUUUUACCACUAGACAAAGACCACUUGGUUCUAAAGACACAUUUUAAAUAAUAUCUUCUUCAUUAAGAAGCAAAAGACUUUUAUAUCUUUUUUCUUUAUAUAUAUUAAAUAAUUAUUUAAAUAAAUAAAAAAAUUUAAAAAUAUAUUUUUUAUGUCUUCAAAUUAUAGUUUUUCAAAUUCAAAUUUUUUAAUAUUUGUUUUUGAUUUUUUUUUCAAAUUUUUUUUUUUAAAAUUG